GGGGGCGUCACGGUUUCGACGUGUUUGGUGAACGUGGGGCAGCGUGUCGAGGGCUCUAGGACCUCGUUAAACACCUAGAAACUUUUUAGAUGCCGAUAUUGACAUGGCUCUGGCUGCCUAAGGUUCUUCCUUAGUAGCCCGUCUCCUGGAUUGCCCGCUCGAGGCGGUCCUUGCAGGCGUCGAUAAUUCGAGCUGGUCCCCCGAUCAUGCUAUCGGGUUAGGGGACGAGAGUUUUAGAUAGCUGGUCUCGGAAUCGGUUGAUCGCUGGCCGUCCGAGGUGAGAUUUUCGGCGAUCUACGCACGUAGCGGCCCUUCUGGAUUCAUUCGCGGACGCGGGUUCGACUCCCGCCGCCUCCAUUC
This 360-nucleotide transfer-messenger RNA is filed under the name Longimicrobiales. RNAcentral's name for it is "UBA2589 sp002348265 Standard tmRNA". It matches the Rfam family "transfer-messenger RNA". From Rfam's summary of the family: Bacterial tmRNA, also known as 10Sa RNA or SsrA, is named for its dual tRNA and mRNA-like properties. Its role is to liberate the mRNA from a stalled ribosome. Lineage: Bacteria; Pseudomonadati; Gemmatimonadota; Longimicrobiia. The record is from RNAcentral. RNAcentral also lists the same sequence under 1 other name.